Molecule: unclassified non-coding RNA, 166 nt
Filed under: rhizosphere metagenome
Description: partial ribosomal RNA internal transcribed spacer region
Source: RNAcentral
GUAGGUGAACCUGCGGAAGGAUCAUUAUUGAUUUGGCGGACCGAGCGUCAGCGAGGUUUCGCGAUCGUCUAUAUUUAAAACCCACACCUUGAAUUAUAUAUUUUUUAUAUUUUUUAAAUGAUAAAAUAAAAAAAGAUCACUUUCAACAACGGAUCUCUUGGCUCUC